AGAGUUUGAUCCUGGCUCAGGAUGAACGCUGGCGGCGUGCCUAACACAUGCAAGUCGAACGGAGUUACGAUGAAACCUAGUGAUUCGUAACUUAGUGGCGGACGGGUGAGUAACGCGUGGAUAACCUGCCUUGCACUGGGGGAUAACACUUAGAAAUAGGUGCUAAUACCGCAUAAGCGCACAGAGCCGCAUGGCUCAGUGUGAAAAACUCCGGUGGUGUAAGAUGGAUCCGCGUCUGAUUAGCUGGUUGGCGGGGUAGAAGCCCACCAAGGCGACGAUCAGUAGCCGGCCUGAGAGGGUGAACGGCCACAUUGGGACUGAGACACGGCCCAAACUCCUACGGGAGGCAGCAGUGGGGAAUAUUGCACAAUGGGGGAAACCCUGAUGCAGCAACGCCGCGUGAGUGAAGAAGUCAUUCGUGAUGUAAAGCUCUAUCAGCAGGGAAGAAAAUGACGGUACCUGAGUAAGAAGCCCCGGCUAACUACGUA
Molecule: ribosomal RNA, 488 nt
Filed under: uncultured Lachnospiraceae bacterium
Lineage: Bacteria; Bacillati; Bacillota; Clostridia; Lachnospirales; Lachnospiraceae
Description: bacterial SSU rRNA
Rfam family: Bacterial small subunit ribosomal RNA
Source: RNAcentral